Molecule: ribosomal RNA, 593 nt
Filed under: bacterium TN99C
Lineage: Bacteria
Description: bacterial SSU rRNA
Rfam family: Bacterial small subunit ribosomal RNA
Source: RNAcentral
GCUCAGGAUGAACGCUGGCGGCGUGCUUAACACAUGCAAGUCGAACGAUGAUGCCCACUUGUGGGUGGAUUAGUGGCGAACGGGUGAGUAACACGUGAGUAACCUGCCCUUGACUCUGGGAUAAGCCUGGGAAACUGGGUCUAAUACCGGAUAUGACCUUCCAUCGCAUGGUGGUUGGUGGAAAGCUUUUGUGGUUUUGGAUGGACUCGCGGCCUAUCAGCUUGUUGGUGGGGUAAUGGCCUACCAAGGCGACGACGGGUAGCCGGCCUGAGAGGGUGACCGGCCACACUGGGACUGAGACACGGCCCAGACUCCUACGGGAGGCAGCAGUGGGGAAUAUUGCACAAUGGGCGCAAGCCUGAUGCAGCGACGCCGCGUGAGGGAUGACGGCCUUCGGGUUGUAAACCUCUUUCAGUAGGGAAGAAGCGAAAGUGACGGUACCUGCAGAAGAAGCGCCGGCUAACUACGUGCCAGCAGCCGCGGUAAUACGUAGGGCGCAAGCGUUAUCCGGAAUUAUUGGGCGUAAAGAGCUCGUAGGCGGUUUGUCGCGUCUGCCGUGAAAGUCCGGGGCUCAACUCCGGAUCUGCGGUGGG